Molecule: ribosomal RNA, 253 nt
Filed under: uncultured bacterium
Lineage: Bacteria
Description: partial 16S ribosomal RNA
Rfam family: Bacterial small subunit ribosomal RNA
Source: RNAcentral
UACGUAGGGUGCAAGCGUUAAUCGGAAUUACUGGGCGUAAAGCGUGCGCAGGCGGUGAUGUAAGACAGAUGUGAAAUCCCCGGGCUCAACCUGGGAACUGCAUUUGUGACUGCAUCGCUGGAGUGCGGCAGAGGGGGAUGGAAUUCCGCGUGUAGCAGUGAAAUGCGUAGAUAUCUGGAGGAAUACCGGUGGCGAAGGCGGCAUCCUGGACCGACAUUGACGCUGAUGAGCGAAAGCUAGGGGAGCAAACGGG